Molecule: ribosomal RNA, 707 nt
Filed under: bacterium
Lineage: Bacteria
Description: bacterial SSU rRNA
Rfam family: Bacterial small subunit ribosomal RNA
Source: RNAcentral
CAUGCAGUCGAGGGGCAGCAUGGGACUUCGGUCCUGAUGGCGACCGGCGCACGGGUGAGUAACGCGUACGCAACUUGCCUCCAAGCGGGGGAUAGCCCCGGGAAACUGGGAUUAAUACCCCAUAGCAUCAUUUUAUCGCCUGGUAGAAUGAUUAAAGCUUAGGCGCUUGGAGAUGGGCGUGCGUGCCAUUAGCUAGUUGGUAAGGUAACGGCUUACCAAGGCUACGAUGGCUAGGGGGCGUGAGAGCGUGGCCCCCCACACGGGUACUGAGACACGGACCCGACUCCUACGGGAGGCAGCAGUAAGGAAUAUUGGACAAUGGAGGCAACUCUGAUCCAGCCAUCCCGCGUGCAGGAUGACGGCCCUAUGGGUUGUAAACUGCUUUUGCGAGGGAAGAAACGGUGCUAUUUAUAGCAUUUUGACGGUACCUCGAGAAUAAGCACCGGCUAACUCCGUGCCAGCAGCCGCGGUAAUACGGAGGGUGCAAGCGUUAUCCGGAAUCACUGGGUUUAAAGGGUGCGUAGGCGGCAUUAUAAGUCAGAGGUGAAAGCCCGUCGCUUAACGAUGGAAUUGCCUUUGAUACUGUAGUGCUUGAAUCAAGUUGAGGCUGGCGGAAUGUGGCAUGUAGCGGUGAAAUGCAUAGAUAUGCCAUAGAACACCAAUUGCGAAGGCAGCUGGCUGGGCUUGAAUUGACGCUGAGGCACGAA